This 1065-nucleotide long non-coding RNA is filed under the name Anser cygnoides (Swan goose). RNAcentral's name for it is "lncRNA (ENSACDG00005013933.1)". The record is from RNAcentral. Lineage: Eukaryota; Metazoa; Chordata; Aves; Anseriformes; Anatidae.
AGCCCCCGGCCCGGCCGCGCUCCGAGGGGCUGGGGCCGCUCGCGGAGCCCCGCGGCCCGUCCCGGCAGCGCUCAGCCCCCGGUAGAGGAGUCUCGGGGCAGCGGCUCCGCGCCCGGUACCCGGCGGGGACGGGCGCUGCUGGCCCCCGGUGCCGGCAGCUGUCACCGGGACGGGGAGGGGAGGGAGGGGAACCGAAGGGGAAGGAGGGGAAGGGAGGCUCCUCCGCCGUCCCCUUACCGCGUCCCGGGCUCGGGGGCCGGCGGCGGGACUCACCGGCGUGGCGGUGCUGGAGGCCGGUGCCGCGCUGCGCCCCGCCGCCGCCCCGCGCCUCUCCCCGGCCCUUUGGAGUUUGGCGCGGAAAAGCCCCGUGCGCGGCGGGCGCCCGCCCAUUGGCCGCCGCUGGCGGGAACUGAGCGCCGGGGGCGGGGCCGCGCCCAACCGGGAGCGCGGGAGGGCCCCGCCGCCCAACCGGGAACCGAGCGGGGACCCCCCGGGGUCCGGCACGGCACGGCCCGGCCGGGCACGGCGCGGUCCCUUUGGUCCCGUCCCGCGGCGAGGGGUCGAAGGGGUCCGUUGGGAGCCCCCGCGGUGGGUGGGAAGGGUCUCCCGGUAGUCCCGGUACCGGAGGGACCGUUAGGUUGUUUGGAAACGGCACCGGGAACGGGCCGGUGCUGGGUGUGCGAAACGAGCGGGAGGCGCGAAAUGUCGCCUCGUGGCUGCCCUCCUAGCAGCCAUCUUCCAAAGGCGCAGCGGCACCGCCGAGCACGCCGCGGGGCUCGUCUCCGCCGGGAGCUCAAGGCUGUACCGGGAGCUCAAAGCCUCACCGGGAGCUCAAAGCCUUACCGGGAGCUCCAAACCUUACCGGGAGCUCAAGGCCCUGCUGUGGUGCUGAGAGAGGCCUCCAAGAUCCGAGCCGCCAGCUGCCGAGCCCCCAGGCCGGGAGCAGUGCCGGUGCUCGUGGUGCUGUGCGUGGUCCCCUCGAAAACGUGGCCGCGGGUGCUGCAGCGGGGCUGCGGGGCGGGAAGCAGCGCUGGUCCUGGAGGAUGUUUUCCUCCGAACUUGUAA